RNAcentral lists this ribosomal RNA (633 nucleotides) under Pseudoalteromonas tetraodonis. RNAcentral describes it as "bacterial SSU rRNA". It matches the Rfam family "Bacterial small subunit ribosomal RNA", at positions 113 to 749 of the family's 1533-position model. The record is from RNAcentral. Lineage: Bacteria; Pseudomonadati; Pseudomonadota; Gammaproteobacteria; Alteromonadales; Pseudoalteromonadaceae.
AUGCUUGGGAACAUGCCUUGAGGUGGGGGACAACAGUUGGAAACGACUGCUAAUACCGCAUAAUGUCUACGGACCAAAGGGGGCUUCGGCUCUCGCCUUUAGAUUGGCCCAAGUGGGAUUAGCUAGUUGGUGAGGUAAUGGCUCACCAAGGCAACGAUCCCUAGCUGGUUUGAGAGGAUGAUCAGCCACACUGGAACUGAGACACGGUCCAGACUCCUACGGGAGGCAGCAGUGGGGAAUAUUGCACAAUGGGCGCAAGCCUGAUGCAGCCAUGCCGCGUGUGUGAAGAAGGCCUUCGGGUUGUAAAGCACUUUCAGUCAGGAGGAAAGGUUAGUCGUUAAUACCGGCUAGCUGUGACGUUACUGACAGAAGAAGCACCGGCUAACUCCGUGCCAGCAGCCGCGGUAAUACGGAGGGUGCGAGCGUUAAUCGGAAUUACUGGGCGUAAAGCGUACGCAGGCGGUUUGUUAAGCGAGAUGUGAAAGCCCCGGGCUCAACCUGGGAACUGCAUUUCGAACUGGCAAACUAGAGUGUGAUAGAGGGUGGUAGAAUUUCAGGUGUAGCGGUGAAAUGCGUAGAGAUCUGAAGGAAUACCGAUGGCGAAGGCAGCCACCUGGUCAACACUGACGCUCA